GACGAACGCUGGCGGCGUGCUUAACACAUGCAAGUCGAACGGAAAGGCCCUGCUUUUGUUGGGUGCUCGAGUGGCGAACGGGUGAGUAACACGUGAGUAACCUGCCCUUGACUUUGGGAUAACUUCAGGAAACUGGGGCUAAUACCGGAUAGGAGCUCCUGCUGCAUGGUGGGGGUUGGAAAGUUUCGGCGGUUGGGGAUGGACUCGCGGCUUAUCAGCCUGUUGGUGGGGUAGUGGCUUACCAAGGCUUUGACGGGUAGCCGGCCUGAGAGGGUGACCGGCCACAUUGGGACUGAGAUACGGCCCAGACUCCUACGGGAGGCAGCAGUGGGGAAUAUUGCACAAUGGGCGGAAGCCUGAUGCAGCAACGCCGCGUGCGGGAUGACGGCCUUCGGGUUGUAAACCGCUUUCGCCUGUGACGAAGCGUGAGUGACGGUAAUGGGUAAAGAAGCACCGGCUAACUACGUG
RNAcentral lists this ribosomal RNA (468 nucleotides) under uncultured bacterium. RNAcentral describes it as "partial 16S ribosomal RNA". It matches the Rfam family "Bacterial small subunit ribosomal RNA", at positions 28 to 507 of the family's 1533-position model. The record is from RNAcentral.